Molecule: transfer RNA, 72 nt
Filed under: Capra hircus (goat)
Lineage: Eukaryota; Metazoa; Chordata; Mammalia; Artiodactyla; Bovidae
Also listed under: 1 other name
Rfam family: tRNA
About the family: Transfer RNA (tRNA) molecules are approximately 80 nucleotides in length.
Source: Rfam by way of RNAcentral
UCCCUAGUAGUUCAGACAGUAAAGAAUCUGCCUGCAAUGCAGGAGAGCCAGGUUUGAUUCCUGGGUUGGGAA